This 400-nucleotide ribosomal RNA is filed under the name uncultured bacterium. RNAcentral describes it as "bacterial SSU rRNA". It matches the Rfam family "Bacterial small subunit ribosomal RNA", at positions 357 to 774 of the family's 1533-position model. The record is from RNAcentral.
GGGAAUCUUGCACAAUGGGGGAAACCCUGAUGCAGCGACGCCGCGUGAACGAUGAAGCCCUUCGGGGUGUAAAGUUCUUUCGACAGGAACGAUAAUGACGGUACCUGGAGAAGAAGCUGCGGCUAACUACGUGCCAGCAGCCGCGGUAAUACGUAGGCAGCGAGCGUUGUUCGGAGUUACUGGGCGUAAAGAGUGCGUAGGCGGCGAGCCAAGUUUGGUGUGAAAUCUCCCGGCUUAACCGGGAGGGUGCGCCGAAAACUGGUUGGCUGGAGUAUGGGAGAGGAAAGCGGAAUUCCUGGCGUAGCGGUGAAAUGCGUAGAUAUCAGGAGGAACACCUGCGGUGUAGACAGCUUUCUGGACCAAAACUGACGCUGAGGCACGAAAGCGUGGGUAGCAAACA